RNAcentral lists this ribosomal RNA (497 nucleotides) under uncultured bacterium. RNAcentral describes it as "partial 16S ribosomal RNA". It matches the Rfam family "Bacterial small subunit ribosomal RNA", at positions 28 to 507 of the family's 1533-position model. The record is from RNAcentral.
GAUGAACGCUGGCGGCGUGCCUAAUACAUGCAAGUCGAGCGAACAGACGAGGAGCUUGCUCCUUUGACGUUAGCGGCGGACGGGUGAGUAACACGUGGAUAACCUACCUAUAAGACUGGGAUAACUUCGGGAAACCGGAGCUAAUACCGGAUAACAUGUUGAACCGCAUGGUUCAACAGUGAAAGACGGUCUUGCUGUCACUUAUAGAUGGAUCCGCGCCGCAUUAGCUAGUUGGUAAGGUAACGGCUUACCAAGGCAACGAUGCGUAGCCGACCUGAGAGGGUGAUCGGCCACUCUGGAACUGAGACACGGUCCAGACUCCUACGGGAGGCAGCAGUAGGGAAUCUUCCGCAAUGGGCGAAAGCCUGACGGAGCAACGCCGCGUGAGUGAAGAAGGUCUUCGGAUCGUAAAACUCUGUUAUUAGGGAAGAACAAAUGUGUAAGUAACUAUGCACGUCUUGACGGUACCUAAUCAGAAAGCCACGGCUAACUACGUG